This 253-nucleotide ribosomal RNA is filed under the name uncultured bacterium. RNAcentral's name for it is "partial 16S ribosomal RNA". It matches the Rfam family "Bacterial small subunit ribosomal RNA", at positions 524 to 776 of the family's 1533-position model. The record is from RNAcentral.
UACGAAGGGGGCGAGCGUUGUUCGGAAUUACUGGGCGUAAAGGGCGCGUAGGCGGCGAACCAAGUCAGAUGUGAAAGUCCUGGGCUUAACCUGGGGACUGCAUUUGAUACUGGUUUGCUUGAAUUCGGGAGAGGAUAGCGGAAUUCCCAGUGUAGAGGUGAAAUUCGUAGAUAUUGGGAAGAACACCGGUGGCGAAGGCGGCUAUCUGGGCCGACAUUGACGCUGAGGCGCGAAAGCGUGGGGAGCAAACAGG